UACGGAAGAUGCGAGCGUUAUCCGGAUUUAUUGGGUUUAAAGGGAGCGUAGGCGGGCGGAUAAGUCAGUUGUGAAAUCCGGCGGCUCAACCGUCGGACUGCAGUUGAAACUGUCCGUCUUGAGUCGGCAUGAGGACGGCGGAAUUCGUGGUGUAGCGGUGAAAUGCUUAGAUAUCACGAAGAACCCCGAUUGCGAAGGCAGCCGUCUGGGGCCGUACUGACGCUGAGGCUCGAAAGUGCGGGUAU
This 245-nucleotide ribosomal RNA is filed under the name uncultured Paraprevotella sp. Its description in RNAcentral is "partial 16S ribosomal RNA". It matches the Rfam family "Bacterial small subunit ribosomal RNA", at positions 524 to 768 of the family's 1533-position model. The record is from RNAcentral. Lineage: Bacteria; Pseudomonadati; Bacteroidota; Bacteroidia; Bacteroidales; Prevotellaceae.